AAGUCGUAACAAGGUUUCCGUAGGUGAACCUGCGGAAGGAUCAUUAACAAAUUCUCAACACACCUGUUUCCCUUUAGUGGGAUUAGGGGGGAGGUGCAAGCCUUCCCUCUUCUCCCCUAGAGGUGUAUACACACACACACCUUUGAUUGACAAACACCAAUUGAUACAAUAAGUUAAUCGAAAACAACUUUUAACAAUGGAUCUCUUGGCUCUU
RNAcentral lists this unclassified non-coding RNA (214 nucleotides) under Rozellomycota sp. RNAcentral describes it as "Cryptomycota sp. partial contains small subunit ribosomal RNA, internal transcribed spacer 1, and 5.8S ribosomal RNA". The stretch from base 1 to 46 matches the Rfam family "Eukaryotic small subunit ribosomal RNA", at positions 1786 to 1831 of the family's 1831-position model. Lineage: Eukaryota; Fungi; Rozellomycota. The record is from RNAcentral.